UCAAAACGACUCUCGGCAACGGAUAUCUCGGCUCUCGCAUCGAUGAAGAACGUAGCAAAAUGCGAUACUUGGUGUGAAUUGCAGAAUCUCGUGAAUCAUCGAGUCUUUGAACGCAAGUUGCGCCCGAAGCCAUUUGGCCGAGGGCACGUCUGCCUGGGCGUCAC
RNAcentral lists this ribosomal RNA (164 nucleotides) under Ellisiophyllum pinnatum. RNAcentral's name for it is "5.8S ribosomal RNA". It matches the Rfam family "5.8S ribosomal RNA". From Rfam's summary of the family: 5.8S ribosomal RNA (5.8S rRNA) is a component of the large subunit of the eukaryotic ribosome. It is transcribed by RNA polymerase I as part of the 45S precursor that also contains 18S and 28S rRNA. The record is from RNAcentral. Lineage: Eukaryota; Viridiplantae; Streptophyta; Magnoliopsida; Lamiales; Plantaginaceae.